UAGCUUUUGCUCGUCCUUGAGUAAAAUAAAAAUAAAAUAAAAACAAGAAUUAUACUAUCCCAUUUUCGUAGGAAACACGAUUGCUCUUAGCAUGUGCAACAAGCCUUUAAACCCCAAAUGAACGAGUUGUGUCUCGUGAGGGUUUGUAGUGAAUAUACCUACAAAAUUCAAAAAUAUUUUUGGGUUCAACAAAUUAUUAAAUUAAAAGAAAAUUCUAAAUAUCCAUGGGCAUUAUAUAUAAG
This 242-nucleotide long non-coding RNA is filed under the name Panax ginseng (ginseng). RNAcentral's name for it is "long non-coding RNA (PGIN_LNC014957)". The record is from RNAcentral. Lineage: Eukaryota; Viridiplantae; Streptophyta; Magnoliopsida; Apiales; Araliaceae.